AGACGUCUACAUUAGAUACCCCCGGUAGUCCCAGCCGUAAACUAUGCUCGCUAGGUGUCAGGCAUGGCGCGACCGUGUCUGGUGCCGCAGGGAAGCCGUGAAGCGAGCCACCUGGGAAGUACGGCCGCAAGGCUGAACUUAAGGAAUUGGCGGGGGAGCACAACAACGGGUGGAGCCUGCGGUUUAAUUGGACUCAACGCCGGACAACUCACCGGGAACGACAGCAAUAUGUAGGCCAGGCUGAAGACCUUGCCUGAAUCGCUG
RNAcentral lists this ribosomal RNA (264 nucleotides) under uncultured archaeon. RNAcentral describes it as "partial 16S ribosomal RNA". It matches the Rfam family "Archaeal small subunit ribosomal RNA", at positions 719 to 982 of the family's 1478-position model. The record is from RNAcentral.